GGUCCGGUUCGAGGAACCAACAGGGAUUGCCUUAGUAGCGGCGAGUGAAGCGGCAAAAGCUCAAAUUUGAAAUCUGGCUCUUUCAGAGUCCGAGUUGUAAUUUGAAGAAGGUAUCUUUGGGUCUGGCUCUUGUCUAUGUUUCUUGGAACAGAACGUCACAGAGGGUGAGAAUCCCGUGCGAUGAGAUGAUCCAGGCCUAUGUAAAGUUCCUUCGAAGAGUCGAGUUGUUUGGGAAUGCAGCUCUAAGUGGGUGGUAAAUUCCAUCUAAAGCUAAAUAUUGGCGAGAGACCGAUAGCGAACAAGUACAGUGAUGGAAAGAUGAAAAGAACUUUGAAAAGAGAGUGAAAAAGUACGUGAAAUUGUUGAAAGGGAAGGGCUUGAGAUCAGACUUGGUAUUUUGUAUGUUACUUCUUCGGGGGUGGCCUCUACAGUUUAUCGGGCCAGCAUCAGUUUGGGCGGUAGGAGAAUUGCGUUGGAAUGUGGCACGGCUUCGGUUGUGUGUUAUAGCCUUCGUCGAUACUGCCAGCCUAGACUGAGGACUGCGGUUUAUACCUAGGAUGUUGGCAUAAUGAUCUUAAGUCGCCCGUCUUGAACCACGGGACCAAAAUAUU
RNAcentral lists this ribosomal RNA (611 nucleotides) under Candida tropicalis. RNAcentral describes it as "LSU rRNA". It matches the Rfam family "Eukaryotic large subunit ribosomal RNA", at positions 49 to 664 of the family's 3401-position model. Lineage: Eukaryota; Fungi; Ascomycota; Pichiomycetes; Serinales; Debaryomycetaceae. The record is from RNAcentral.